This 253-nucleotide ribosomal RNA is filed under the name uncultured bacterium. Its description in RNAcentral is "partial 16S ribosomal RNA". It matches the Rfam family "Bacterial small subunit ribosomal RNA", at positions 524 to 776 of the family's 1533-position model. The record is from RNAcentral.
CACGUAGGCACCAAGCGUUGUCCGGAUUUAUUGGGCGUAAAGAGCUCGUAGGCGGUCUGUUGCGUCGGCUGUGAAAACCCGGGGCUCAACUCCGGGCCUGCAGCCGAUACGGGCAGACUAGAGUUCGGCAGGGGAGACUGGAAUUCCUGGUGUAGCGGUGAAAUGCGCAGAUAUCAGGAGGAACACCGGUGGCGAAGGCGGGUCUCUGGGCCGAUACUGACGCUGAGGAGCGAAAGCGUGGGGAGCGAACAGG